AACGCUAGCGGCAGGCCUAAUACAUGCAAGUCGGACGGGAUCCAUCGGAGAGCUUGCUCGAAGAUGGUGAGAGUGGCGCACGGGUGCGUAACGCGUGAGCAACCUACCUCUAUCAGGGGGAUAGCCUCUCGAAAGAGAGAUUAACACCGCAUAACAUCAACAGUUCGCAUGUUCGGUUGAUUAAAUAUUUAUAGGAUAGAGAUGGGCUCGCGUGACAUUAGCUAGUUGGUAGGGUAACGGCCUACCAAGGCGACGAUGUCUAGGGGCUCUGAGAGGAGAAUCCCCCACACUGGUACUGAGACACGGACCAGACUCCUACGGGAGGCAGCAGUAAGGAAUAUUGGUCAAUGGGCGGAAGCCUGAACCAGCCAUGCCGCGUGCAGGAUGACUGCCCUAUGGGUUGUAAACUGCUUUUGUCCAGGAAUAAACCUAAAUACGUGUAUUUAGCUGAAUGUACUGGAAGAAUAAGGAUCGGCUAACUCCGUGCCAGCAGCCGCGGUAAUACGGAGGAUCCGAGCGUUAUCCGGAUUUAUUGGGUUUAAAGGGUGCGUAGGCGGCCUAUUAAGUCAGGGGUGAAAUACGGUGGCUCAACCAUCGCAGUGCCUUUGAUACUGAUGGGCUUGAAUCCAUUUGAAGUGGGCGGAAUAAGACAAGUAGCGGUGAAAUGCAUAGAUAUGUCUUAGAACUCCGAUUGCGAAGGCAGCUCACUAAGCUGGUAUUGACGCUGAUGCACGAAAGCGUGGGGAUCGAACAGGAUUAGAUACCCUGGUAGUCCACGCCCUAAACGAUGAUAACUCGAUGUUGGCGAUAGACAGCCAGCGUCCCAGCGAAAGCGUUAAGU
Molecule: ribosomal RNA, 841 nt
Filed under: Sphingobacterium multivorum
Lineage: Bacteria; Pseudomonadati; Bacteroidota; Sphingobacteriia; Sphingobacteriales; Sphingobacteriaceae
Description: bacterial SSU rRNA
Rfam family: Bacterial small subunit ribosomal RNA
Source: RNAcentral